This 712-nucleotide long non-coding RNA is filed under the name Fukomys damarensis (Damara mole-rat). Its description in RNAcentral is "lncRNA (ENSFDAG00000028900.1)". Lineage: Eukaryota; Metazoa; Chordata; Mammalia; Rodentia; Bathyergidae. The record is from RNAcentral.
UAUUUAUUUAGGUACCAGGGAUCGAACUCGGGUCUGCGUGCUUGUGAGGCGCCGGAACCACUGACUAAAUCCCUGGCCCAAAGUAUUAGAUAAUUUAUCUACGCAAAUACUGGCCUCUAAAUAAUGGUGCCUAGAGGAAAGGUCUAGGUGAGAAGUAGGUGAUUGCUCGAGGUAACCCUUAGUUAACAGUAGCAGAGGGAUAUAGAAAAGUACUGAUUGAAUUAUUCCUAGCUUUAAAAUAGAUGCACAGCUACGUAGACUUGACAUUUGGUUUAGAUGAGUACAAGCUUAGGUUGAGUCUGCAGGAGGAGCCGACCUUCCAAGAGUGGCACAAAGCUGUCUAAUAGAGAGGAAGUAAAAGCUAAGGAAUUGCUGUCCUAAAAUGCAGGAAAAAUCUAGAAGCUGAUUUUAGAAUCCAAAGCCCAUGCAUAGAAAUUCUCUUCCAUUCUGAUAACUUCCAGAUAUCAUCAGGAAGACCUACCACCAUCCACACAUGGCAGCCCCUUUACCUCACAGGCUUUCUAAGACAAUGAUGAAUCUGAAGAAAGUGAAGUACCCUUCUGCAUUCAUGCUUUCCUUUUUGUUAAACUCUCAUGUUCAAGACAGAUACCGGGACCUUCCUGCUUCCACAUCUCGCCAUAGAAAGAGAUUCUGGUCAUUAGGAUACUGAACAGGAUAGUUCAGACACGAAGGCUGCCUGACAAAUCCAGGG